GAUGAACGCUGGCGGCGUGCCUAAUACAUGCAAGUCGAGCGAACGGACGAGAAGCUUGCUUCUCUGAUGUUAGCGGCGGACGGGUGAGUAACACGUGGAUAACCUACCUAUAAGACUGGGAUAACUUCGGGAAACCGUAGCUAAUACCGGAUAAUAUUUUGAACCGCAUGGUUCAAAAGUGAAAGACGGUCUUGCUGUCACUUAUAGAUGGAUCCGCGCUGCAUUAGCUAGUUGGUAAGGUAACGGCUUACCAAGGCAACGAUGCAUAGCCGACCUGAGAGGGUGAUCGGCCACACUAGAACUGAGACACGGUCCAGACUCCUACGGGAGGCAGCAGUAGGGAAUCUUCCGCAAUAGGCGAAAGCCUGACGGAGCAACGCCGCGUGAGUGAUGAAGGUCUUCGGAUCGUAAAACUCUGUUAUUAGGGAAGAACAUAUGUGUAAGUAACUGUGCACAUCUUGACGGUACCUAAUCAGAAAGCCACGGCUAACUACGUG
RNAcentral lists this ribosomal RNA (497 nucleotides) under uncultured bacterium. RNAcentral's name for it is "partial 16S ribosomal RNA". It matches the Rfam family "Bacterial small subunit ribosomal RNA", at positions 28 to 507 of the family's 1533-position model. The record is from RNAcentral.